Long non-coding RNA from Suricata suricatta (meerkat), 691 nucleotides. RefSeq lists it as uncharacterized. The transcript is spliced from 3 exons. The record is from RefSeq and is a predicted model, not a curated record. Lineage: Eukaryota; Metazoa; Chordata; Mammalia; Carnivora; Herpestidae.
GUCACACUUAGGACAGAUGAAGGAUAUAGACUGAAUACUUCUCCACCCUGCCCCCACACCGUGCUCUAGAAUCAGAAGCACUUCAGGAUGGAAGGGACAUCAUGUGUCAUCGGAUUCCACUCCGGCAUCACAAAGAUGAGGAAUCUAAGGAAUCUGGGACUCAGCGAGCUGGAGCAUGAAGGGACUAGUCAAGGGACAUCAGCCUAUUGCCGGAACAGGGAUCUCCAUUGGCCUAUGUUCCCAUCCCUCCCCCAUACAGCCCGCGUGUUCCAAGAGAUGCUUGCCAUCCUCUCUCUCUGACUGUCCAAACAUGGUCCCAUCAAGCCUGACAGAAUGACCAGAGCAGGAGCCCAGGUCUAAGACGACCAGCACACGAAACCCCCCAACCACAGGGAAUGUUUCAAGAAACGGGUAUGGAAUCCAAUUGGAAUCAUACGAGGAAAAGAUUGCUCCAUUUUUUUUUUGGAAAUAAGUUUCUCUACUUUUAAUCGAGACCCCCUGGAAGAGAUAGUUUCUCUUCUCCUGGAGGAUGGUGUAGCCAUUUUGUUACCAGGAGGAAAUGUAGCCAGCACAGAGAAAGGUGCAAUUAAGACAAAUGCAGAGAAAUAGAGACAGAAUCCACAGAUUCAGCUCACCUUGGAGACUGCCUUAUUUCUGCAACUUGCCCAUUAAUUUAAUUAUUCUUAAGCCA